AUUUGUACAGAGUCCUGUUAAACGGAAACAGAAGGAGCAACUAGAAGCGUACGAGCGGAGAUCGAAGCGUGUACGGUCAGGCCCGGUGUUCGAUACCGGUGCAGAUACGCCUCCACUGAGCGUGAUUGCUGACAAUAUUGUGGAGAUCCCUGUGGAGAGCAGCGAUGAUACUCCUCCACCGAGCGUGAUUGCUGACAAACCUGUGGAGAUCCCUGUGGAGAGCAGCGAUAGGACCGACUCAGCUAGUCCAGACUCCGGUGGUAAAUGCUGUCAUCACGAGUCAGAAUUCGAUAAUUUGAAAUGUGAGAACUUGCUGCUGAGAGAGGAGGUGAAGAAAUUAAGGGCCCAAAACUCAACUCU
Sycon ciliatum is the source of this 360-nucleotide long non-coding RNA. RefSeq lists it as uncharacterized. NCBI's taxonomy places the organism in Eukaryota, Metazoa, Porifera, Calcarea, Leucosolenida, Sycettidae. The transcript has 3 exons. The record is from RefSeq and is a predicted model, not a curated record.